Long non-coding RNA from Alosa sapidissima (American shad), 374 nucleotides. RefSeq lists it as uncharacterized. The transcript is spliced from 2 exons. The record is from RefSeq and is a predicted model, not a curated record. Lineage: Eukaryota; Metazoa; Chordata; Actinopteri; Clupeiformes; Clupeidae.
UCUCUACUCAGUGGUCAGCAGGAACAUCACAAUGAUAAGGGCUUGAUUGCAAGACAUGGGAUUCUGCUAAUUUAGAAAAACACCACUGAGUGACUAAAUCCACAGCUCCGUAUACAAGGGCAUACAGUAUAGUGGCUGGAAAAACUAAGGACUAGCUGCUGAAAUACUGAGGUGUGGAGAAAGUGCUGGAGCCACAUUUUUGUCCUUCAGAGUGGGCUACUCAACUUUGUGAAUGAAUGAAGACAGAGUGAAAAGAAAAUGUUCUUCGGCUUAGAAUUGAAUGUCCAAUCAGAUUGGCUGCUGAAUCUUCGCAGAGGAAGUUGAUAAGACCAGUAACUUCAGAUAGGCCGUCUGACAAUUGAGGAGUUGCUUUU